Molecule: ribosomal RNA, 305 nt
Filed under: uncultured bacterium
Lineage: Bacteria
Description: bacterial SSU rRNA
Rfam family: Bacterial small subunit ribosomal RNA
Source: RNAcentral
GACCUACGGGAGGCAGCAGUGAGGAAUAUUGGUCAAUGGUCGGGAGACUGAACCAGCCAAGCCGCGUGAGGGAGGAAGGUACAGAGUAUCGUAAACCUCUUUUGUCAGGGAACAAAGGCGGGGACGUGUCCCCGGAUGAGUGUACCUGAAGAAAAAGCAUCGGCUAACUCCGUGCCAGCAGCCGCGGUAAUACGGAGGAUGCGAGCGUUAUCCGGAUUUAUUGGGUUUAAAGGGUGCGCAGGCGGUCUGUUAAGUCAGCGGUCAAAAUGCGGUGCUCAACGCCGUACAGCCGUUGAAACUGGCAG